GCGUGUGGCGCAGCUGGUAGCGCAGCGGACUCUUAAUCCGUAGGUCGUGGGUUCGAACCCCACCGCGCC
RNAcentral lists this transfer RNA (69 nucleotides) under chicken gut metagenome. It matches the Rfam family "tRNA". Rfam says of the family: Transfer RNA (tRNA) molecules are approximately 80 nucleotides in length. Their secondary structure includes four short double-helical elements and three loops (D, anti-codon, and T loops). The record is from RNAcentral.